RNAcentral lists this ribosomal RNA (425 nucleotides) under uncultured bacterium. RNAcentral describes it as "bacterial SSU rRNA". It matches the Rfam family "Bacterial small subunit ribosomal RNA", at positions 28 to 453 of the family's 1533-position model. The record is from RNAcentral.
GACGAACGCUGGCGGCGUGCUUAACACAUGCAAGUCGAACGGUGACGAGGAGCUUGCUCCUCCGAUCAGUGGCGAACGGGUGAGUAACACGUGAGCAACCUGCCCCAGACUCUGGGAUAACAGUUGGAAACAGCUGCUAAUACCGGAUACGAGACGGAGAGGCAUCUCUACCGUCUGGAAAGUUUUCGGUCUGGGAUGGACUCGCGGCCUAUCAGCUAGUUGGUGAGGUAAUGGCUCACCAAGGCGACGACGGGUAGCCGGCCUGAGAGGGUGAACGGCCACACUGGAACUGAGACACGGUCCAGACUCCUACGGGAGGCAGCAGUGGGGGAAUAUUGCACAAUGGGCGAAAGCCUGAUGCAGCGACGCCGCGUGAGUGAAGAAGGUUCUCGGAUCGUAAAACUCUGUCCUUGGUGAAGAAAAAU